Eriocheir sinensis (Chinese mitten crab) is the source of this 918-nucleotide long non-coding RNA. RefSeq lists it as uncharacterized. The record is from RefSeq and is a predicted model, not a curated record. The transcript is spliced from 3 exons. Lineage: Eukaryota; Metazoa; Arthropoda; Malacostraca; Decapoda; Varunidae.
CAUGACGGGACCGCAGAGACUCCGGGUAAACUUAAACAGUCAAUUCCCUUCCCCCUUCGUGCGGACCGAUCAGUCGCUAGCACGGAAAGGUUGGUAUGUCGGAAGGUGUGGAGUGCGCUUCUUGAUCUUCAUCACUGCUGGUUUUGUUUACAUUUCCACACGACAACGAGAGCAGCCGCAGUUUAUUCAUCCGAUUAUUGGACCAGGUAAGCACAUUUCCUUAUCAUAAUGUUAGUUUUUUACAGUUUAAUGACAGAGGUUACCUAUAUGAACAAGUAAAAAGGUCGAGUGUAGCCCUCAUUGCUUAGAGUAGAUGAUGCCAGCCUGCACAUGGACGAGACCCUCACAAAGAUUAUUGUCCUUCCAUUAUGUGCCCAAGUAAGCACAUUUCCCUGUCAUAGUGUUAGUUUUUAGCUGUUUAAUGACAGGGUUGACCUAUGUGAACAAGUAAUAAGGUUGCGUGUGGCCCUCAAAACACACAUGGAUGAGGCCCAGACUAAGGCUAUUUUCAUCCCAUUAUUGGAGCAGAGAACGUAGGAUUUCUAGAAAUGGAAGGAGCACUGAGUGCCAGAAGCAGUCCAAUGUCACCUCCUGAGCGAGACCUUCUCAUGGGCCUCAUCUGUGAGGAGAAGAUCCUCCAAGACAGGAGGACAGACGGGAAGGUUGUCCUCCAGAAGAGGGCAGCGUGGGCCCGAAUCACGCGCCUGUUUAAUUCCCACAACCUUGGACCGCAGCGCACUGAGCAGCAACUCAAGAAAGUUUGGGAGCGUUUAAAAGUAAAGGCAAAACAAGAACAUGCAGUGAAGAGGCGGGAGGACAUGAGAACUGGUGGAGGUGCCCCUCCUGCGGAUCUGCCAAAAGAAUCGGACCAAGUGCUGACGAUACUUGGCACGGAUUUGCACGACAUAGGAAAUCCGU